RNAcentral lists this long non-coding RNA (633 nucleotides) under Penaeus japonicus. RNAcentral's name for it is "uncharacterized LOC122245861". The record is from RNAcentral. Lineage: Eukaryota; Metazoa; Arthropoda; Malacostraca; Decapoda; Penaeidae.
UCUUGUUUACAUCACGGAGCAGACGCCGAAGACAGUCGGAUCAGCUGGAAAGUUCUUCCUAUUUAUCAAGUUUUAAAAGGUUGUCGCUUUCUUAAUAUGAUCCGAAGACCUCGUGGAGUGACUGUACCCCAACUGGCAUUUGUGAGUUUUGUCGGAAUCCUGGGAGGGAUUUAUAUCUGGAAACCUCUGCUGGUGAAGUUCAAGGCAGAACAGUCUGGAAGUUCUUCAAAUGCUGCAACUACUGCUGAUGCAUAAACUUCCUUAGUGGUAUAUUUAUACACUGGACUUUGGACAGUGAGGAGUCUGAAGCUGUGAGAUAUUUUUAGCAAGACUUAACAUUAUAUGCUAAGGCAAGAUGACUGUACCAGCUGCCGGGACAUAUCCCAUCUUAACUACAGCUCUCUUUACAUCAUUAACAAUGAUUUUGGGGUACAAAUUGUUCAUUUCUCCGACGCUGACCAGGAGGCAUCGAGAGAGGCAAGAAGAGCUCGCAGACCAAGUGUAUAGUUUUACAAAGAAAGAUAUGGCCGUACCUCCAGGAAGUCAGAAAAGCUGAUUGUACAUGAGAUAUAUUUUAUAGUGUAUAUAGGAAAUUCUUAAACCACUUGCAUUGUUAAUAAAUGUUUGAUUAAG